AAGUCGUAACAAGGUUUCCGUAGGUGAACCUGCGGAAGGAUCAUUAACACGUAUCCAACGUUAAACAACCCUGUGAACUUUAAGUCCCCUCUUGCAGCCCAUGAGGAACAGCAAUCCCGGUAAAUCAUUGCCAAACAGUUUUGAUUCGGGACCUCUGUCCAAAAGGAGUUGCAAUCGAAGGGUGGAAGCAGUGGCAUGGCUUCCCCAAGCAGUUAGUGAAUGACAGUGUCACUGACUGUGUAAGGAUAACGCCUCACGGUUCGGCAGACAUGUCACAGGGUCACCACGCCCCUUAAUCACUCCACUUGAAAAUGCCCCGCCUAGUGGUAACGCGCUAGGUAAAAAAAACCGAACAACUGUUAACAAUGGAUAUCUUGGUUCUC
Molecule: unclassified non-coding RNA, 383 nt
Filed under: fungal sp.
Lineage: Eukaryota; Fungi
Description: partial internal transcribed spacer region
Rfam family: Eukaryotic small subunit ribosomal RNA (bases 1-46)
Source: RNAcentral